AGAGCGAACGCUGGCGGCAGGCCUAACACAUGCAAGUCGAGCGCCCCGCAAGGGGAGCGGCAGACGGGAGAGUAACACGUGGGAACGUACCCUUUGGUUCGGAACAACACAGGGAAACUUGUGCUAAUACCGGAUAAGCCCUUACGGGGAAAGAUUUAUUGCCAAAGGAUCGGCCCGCGUCUGAUUAGCUUGUUGGUGAGGUAACGGCUCACCAAGGCUACGAUCAGUAGCUGGUCUGAGAGGAUGAUCAGCCUCACUGGGACUGAGACACGGCCCAGACUCCUACGGGAGGCAGCAGUGGGGAAUAUUGGACAAUGGGCGUAAGCCUGAUCCAGCCAUGCCGCGUGGAUGAUGAAGGCCCUAGGGUUGUAAAGUCCUUUCGACGGGGAAGAUAAUGACGGUACCCGUAGAAGAAGCCCCGGCUAACUUCGUGCCAGCAGCCGC
Molecule: ribosomal RNA, 444 nt
Filed under: uncultured bacterium
Lineage: Bacteria
Description: SSU rRNA
Rfam family: Bacterial small subunit ribosomal RNA
Source: RNAcentral